Molecule: non-coding RNA, 1672 nt
Organism: Heterocephalus glaber (naked mole-rat)
Lineage: Eukaryota; Metazoa; Chordata; Mammalia; Rodentia; Bathyergidae
Source: RefSeq, a predicted model, not a curated record
AGAAAGGCAGAAAGGAGUAGGAGUAACCGAGACAUCUGCAUCCGAGGGUGCAGAAACCUGGGUUCUGAGUCUUUUGUUCUCUAGGCACAGCCCAAAUAGCUCCUGUCAUCCACAGCUAGAGGUUAACGAGGAUCAGUCACACCGAAACCGCUCUGGGGGCUAAGGGCAAGGCGCCAAGCAGGCCGGGGGGGAUCAGAAAGUGAGUUUUGGCGAAGACUGGGCGCACCUCCGCUCUCCCUAGCACGCCAGGCAAGACUGCUUACUGAGCUUUUUUCCGACACGGGGGUGUCCAUUCAGAACAAAAGAGGUCACUGAAUGUAGCUGACAAGGAUCUUUUUCCCCGUCCAGCCUCCUGCGCCACUUUUACCCACAUUCUUGGAACUCGAGGUCAGCAAAAAUAGGACCACUGGGCUCGUCCGGGAUUUGAACCCGGGACCUCUCGCACCCGAAGCGAGAAUCAUACCCCUAGACCAACGAGCCGGCACAUGAUAAUGGCCGCGGAUGCUCUUAGAGGUCGUACGGCAUUUGCUGUGGUCCUAGGGACACCACGAUUGGCGGGAGCGUCCAGGAGAACUUCAGGGUCCACCCUCCCCACGGCUGAAUACUGCAUUCUGGAGCAUGUGUCUAGGAAUCUCUGGGCUGCUAGCCCUAGAGCUCCGACUCCUUGCGGGAAGUAGCGUGGAGGAAGUGGGAGGGGGUGCUCUGGGUCUGUCCCCACUCCACCUUUCUCAACUGCCCUGAGUUGCCAGGUUCCUGCUCUUUUCGGUCACCGACUCCGGCCCGUCCCUUAAUUUGGGAUCUCCACCCUUCCCGCUCUCAGCCUUCUGACCCAGCCCCGCGGUGGAGAGCUUUGAAACAAGCCCCGAACAUGCCUGAUCUCAGGAAGGUCUGGAGACAGAGUCCUGAAAUCCCUAGGUGAACACCACCCCUCUAACCGUCCCUGUACCUAUUUCACUGGGGUGACAGGCAGGGGCUUCAAUAGCCUAUGGUCUCCCCAUACUGCUUGACAGCGCCCAGCUAAAAAGACAAACGUGAUGAUUCCUCUGGCAAAAAACAAAAAACCCAAGGAAGAAACGUUACUGAGACGCCCGGCUAGAGCGAGGGACCCUGCUUCCUCUGCAGAAUAGAGUGGGGCACCAGGCCAGGCCAGUCAAGAUGGUCCCUGAUGCCCGACACCUCUGUGGACACUGGCUAGGGCUCAGUCUAGCCUCAGCUCCCCAGUUUCCUCUAGGAAGGCCCAGGAGACUCUUCUACAUGCUGCCGCAGAACAUCAGAAGGAAAAUACAAUGGAUACCAAGCCUGGUGAAGAAAGAGAUCUCAAUACAGACAGGCCCAGCCUCUUUAGGAGACCUGGAGGUACCAGCACUGGGAUGCUUCUCCAGAUUCCAAUCCAACACAGCUUUCUGGGGAAGGGGAGGAGGAGCUGGGGCACUCACAGAGUGAGGGGUGACAAGUCGGUACACUUGCCCUGGGUGCAAGAAUGCAAACCAGCGGACUGAAGAGCCAAGGAAGAGGAGAAGAACCUGUAAGGAAGGAUAGAAGGGUGCUGUGUCCCAGCCUAGAGCUUGGGCAUGGGGAUCCAGGCCCUAGGAGUCCCACUUUACCUUCUGAUCCUUGUUCUCAUCUUUCAGGGGCUCAGGUGGGCCCCAUCCAGUUCCCUCCUUCCUCUGGG